AAAUCAUUCCGAUUUUUCAGAUAAUUAUAAUAUUGGUUUUGUAUCAAAGAUGGAGAUGUUAACUCCAAUUACAUAAGUAUGUCUAAGUAACAAUACAACGAUGAAAAUCAUAUUUAUCUCAUUGUAACGCAAUUAUGUAAUUAGUUAUUUAUAAAAUUACUUUAUAAUGUACAUGAGCAAACAAGAUUUGACAUAGUGACUGAGCAACUACAGUCUAAUAUCAGUACACUCGAACCAAAUCUGCUUGAAUACCUUGAUGAUCAAGUCAUGAUACUCAUCAGAAUUCAAUGCAAGAUAACAUGCAAGAAGAUCUUCCAAAUCUUUUGAACUCUUAAUAUUGUUCUCUAUUAUCAUCUCAACCAUUGAUUCCUUAAAAUCCCUCCCGGGAUCCGCGGAUGUUUUCACAACCGCCAAACUUUCGGACAAGCUCCGCCGGUUCCCGUUCCUCCUCCUUAUUCCAUUUACCUUAACCCGGUUCCCUAACCGCGGUGAGUAACCGUUUCCUUUCGCUUUUCUAACCGGACUACCCAUAAGGCCCUCUUUAACAACCCGGCCCCGACUUCCUCCAUUAACCACCCAUUUACCCGACCCGAAUUCAUCCUGUUUGACAGGUUUGGUUAUUAUCCGCGGGAGGUCAACUCUCGCAUAAACCUCCUCGUUUAACGAAUUUGUUGUGCACGAACAACCAACAGGUCUCGGUUGUUCGGGCAACAAAGCUUCGUUAUCCGAGAAAAUUGCUAUGGAGUCCGUUUCAAAAGACUCCGGUACGAUCUCAAUCUCAGGAGAAAUCAAUUUUCGCCGAAUUGGUUUCUUCGGGGUAGUAGGUCUUUUUUUCUUGGAUGACUUUCUGGGCCCGCGACUCUCGGGUGGUGACGGAUCCUGAACAGGGGUGGUCGUCGGGUCGGGUACACUUAACUCUCUAGUGAAAUAAUAGGAUUUUCUGUGGUGUAUUGCGGGUUGUGAUGAUACAGAUGAUGAAGAAGAUGAAGUUGUGAUGGGUUGUGUU
This 1006-nucleotide long non-coding RNA is filed under the name Helianthus annuus (common sunflower). RNAcentral describes it as "sRNA HanXRQr2_Chr01g0000111". The record is from RNAcentral. Lineage: Eukaryota; Viridiplantae; Streptophyta; Magnoliopsida; Asterales; Asteraceae.